Molecule: long non-coding RNA, 189 nt
Organism: Stegastes partitus (bicolor damselfish)
Lineage: Eukaryota; Metazoa; Chordata; Actinopteri; Pomacentridae
Exons: 3
Source: RefSeq, a predicted model, not a curated record
AAGUUAGGGAUAUUGUGAGAGACUCAGUGGAUUUCAUACAUACAGUCUUUGUUUCACUUCAGAGAUUUCUGGGACAGGGAGGCUAUUGUAUUGGGCUGAUAGACACACCUCAUUUUGUGUUUUCCAUGUAAUGGUCUCACUGUGUACAGUGUACCUUACAUAUUGGGGCCAAUACCAAAAAACUAAAAG